UGAAGGAAUAGUCGAGUUGCAAAAAAAGUUAUUAUGGGCAAACAAUAUUGAUGACAUUGAUUAUGAAGAGCAGAGGAUUGAAGAAACACUCCGCAAAAAGGAAGUCCUCAUUGUUCUUGACGACAUGGGCAAAGAGUGAACAAGUAUGAGAAGUUGGUUAGCAAGUGUACCUUGUGGUUCAAGUUCUAGAGUUAUUAUUACAACUAGGAAUAAAAAUGGUUUGCAUAAUAAAGAAUUGAUAUAUGUCAUUCCAAAUUAUGAAAUGGAGGAAAUGAGUUCCGAUCAUGGACUGCGGCUUUUCAGCAGGCAUGCCUUCAAGAGAGACACUCCUUUAGAUGACUACCACAUCCUUUCAAGAGACUGUUGUCUCCAUAACCGGACGACUUCCUUUGGCUCUUGAAGCAUUAGGUUCGUUCCUUUAUCGAGGAAGGAGAUAUGAAAAGACACUAGACAAAUUAAGCAAAGUUCUUCACAGGAUGUCGCAGGACAGUCGAAGAUCAGCCAUGAUGCCUUAAUGAGAACAAGAAUAAUGCAAUUCACAUGCAGGAUUGUAGAUUUUCUCCAGAACUGGGGGACUGAUGCUGUCGAGAGCAUGUCCGUGAUAAAGGUUUUAAAUGACGAGGUAUCCAGGAUUCAUGACCGGCUAAGAGAUCUUGGAAGGAGAAUCGUCCAUCAAAAUCUUAUGGCAAGUUCUGACGCUGAAAAAUUUAAUGAAUCUAGUCGGUCAUUGUUAAAAACAAGAUACUUGGGGAGGAAAGUGAAGCUACCCUUUGGACAAAACUGCAAGAAAUCUGUAGUGAUGGAAAUUGAUUCAGUUAUGAUCAAUUCGAAGAGUUGUGUUUCGACUGUUGUAUCGCCUUCUUCUUGAUUUUUAUUGUUGUCUGUUACGAUCAUUGUUUC
Long non-coding RNA from Rhodamnia argentea, 900 nucleotides. RefSeq lists it as uncharacterized. NCBI's taxonomy places the organism in Eukaryota, Viridiplantae, Streptophyta, Magnoliopsida, Myrtales, Myrtaceae. The record is from RefSeq and is a predicted model, not a curated record. The transcript is spliced from 2 exons.